GCAGAUACAAGGGUUAUGCCUACAACAGCCUAGCAGAGCUAUUGAAAUUCCUUCAAACUCAUAGUGUGUUGGAUGUGUUAGGUUCAAGCAACUCUGAAUUUGUUGAGUUAUUACAAGAUGUGCGUAGAUUUCCGUUUGAUAAGGAGUGGUUGGAUGAUGUUGAAAUGCGCGCUUUGUUUCCUGAUUUACAAUUCUCUCAAAAUGCAUUGCAAAAACUAUUGGAUUCCGAGCAGCGUGUCACGAAAGAAGUUGAAGAGAUGCGUUUAAAGAUAAACAUUUUUAAUCAACAUCUUGAAGAUCUUAAGCAUCAAUUGACAUCCUCUGAAGCUGAUUUGGAGACUAUCAUUCAACAGAAAGCAAAAAUUUUAGAAACUAAGGCUGCUUUAAGUGCCCCUCUCGGCUAUUAAACUAUCGUUUGUUCUUGGAUUGGAGCUUUUUAUCAUUAAAUAUUGUUUAUUUCUUUGCUAUUUUCUGCUUUUCUCAUUUGAAAUGAGCUACUAUGCGUAUUUUUAAAUUGUUAUCGAUUAUUAUUGUUGUAUCAAACAAAGGAAACACCAAAUUAAGAAUAUUGGAAUCGCAUAAUGUUGAAGUGGAGCUAUGAUUCUUAAUUACAACAACCAUUAAUAUACUUACAACAAGCUACCAUAACUUUUGUUUACAUUGCGUUGUUGCUAUAAGAUAUAUCUGUUUCUAAAUUGUCACAACUACUCUGUAAUUAAAUCACCUCUGUUCGAACCCUGAGAAUGUAGGGCUUGAAACGUAACAAGGGAGAGCUUUAUCGUUAAUAUGUAGUCAUAUUCGAUUAAAGGAUUGCAAUACUCACUUUAUAUACCCAAAAAAAUAACCUCCAGUUUUAUCCAUCAUCUUUUAUUUUAUGAAAUUAUCUACCAUCUUUCUCUUAUAGUGAUCCCAUGUCAAAUUAAUAAAAUCUAGUCUGUAUGGACCUUCAUGACCGUCCGUGGCUAUAAUCUAAGAUGUGGGUCUUUGGCCUCUGCUCCCAGAAUAUGUGAUUUGGUUGUCAGAUCUCUAACAACAAACCUAAAUGUCGACUCAUCGUAUGCACACUCCAUCAACCGAAAUGCUGAAAAUGUCCCCUGAUCUUAAAAGAGGCACACAUGUUGAAAUAUAACAUUUGAACAAUCGUACUCCUCCAUCUACAGGCUCACAUCCAUUGCAACAUGUCUCCUCAAUGUUAUUACCACCCAAUAUGGAUGUAUUAGUGGUAUUUUUCUGCAUUUUAUCGCAAGAAACUUUGCAGCGUAGCCUAGUAAUAUGUUAGUGUGUAGCCUCUAAAGAUUGGAUAGAUUGUUCAGAUUUUUCAUCUCAGAACUUUUGAAAGGGCUAAGAAUAAAGUUGUCUGUUGUAUGUGAUUAGCUUGGAGCUAUUCUUGGAAAAGGGGAAAAGAAAGCAUUGUAUACAGCAAUUGAUGCACUUGGUACACCAGAAAAUUUGGAGAGGCUUUAUUUAGAGGUUCAAGCACCAAAUACCAAUCCAUCAUGCAAUUGUAUCUACAUGAACAUGAUCAUCCAGUAACUCAUAGGGACCUCAAGUGUGAUAUAACAUACUUGUCAAUGGACAUCUUGGACAAGCAAAAAUUGGUGACUUGGGAUUUCCAUACAUAAACAAUUUUUAACUUUUAAUGUUCAAGGUAUGCUACCAGCAACACUUUUCUGAUUUGAAGAUGCAAAAGCAUUGGAGUUUAUUGGAAAAUGCCUAGUGAAUUAUAUGUUUUAUUCUAAUAUAUUUCCACUUUGUUAAAAAUAACCAAGUUGACUUUGAAAUUUCACAAGAAUCUCUGAAUCUCUCUCUUUGAGGUUUCACAAUUUUACUGUUUUGAGCCGCCAGGAAUCAAUCAAUUGGUUGGUAGGUUAGAUUCCAAAUUCAUAUGAAAAGCAAAGUGUGAAGAAGCAUAAACCAGUUAUUAUAGUAUUAGUGAAUUACUUUGUGAAUCAACGUCCCUAUAAUAUGACAUACUAUCUAACUGAUGGUAUCUAACCUUCUUAUCCAACUUUCGUCAAAUCAAUUAGAUUUCCUCAAAGUGAAUCCGAUAAGUUAUUUGCAAAACAUCAGGAGAGCUGUCGGAAGGACAUCGAACGUGCUUUUGGAGUGCUUCAAGCUCGAUUUAAAAUCAUCCGUGAACCAGCUCGCUUGUGGGACAUAGCCGAUUUGGGUAUCAUCAUGAGGUCAUGCAUCAUAUUACAUAAUAUGAUUGUUGAGGAUGAACGAGAUACAUAGGUUCAACGUUGGACCGAUUUUGAGCAACCUGAGGGAAGUGGAUCUAGUACACCGCAACCAUACUCGACCGAGGUGUUACCAUCUUUUGCAAAUCAUGUGCGUGCUAGAUCCGAGUUGCGUGAUUCAAAUGUUCAUCACGAAUUGCAAGCAGAUCUAGUGAAGCACAUAUGGACAAAGUUUGGAAUGUAUAGUGAUUGAAGAUGAUUUGUAUUGUACUAAAUAAAUUCCUUGUGUGUUGUAUGUUUAGUUUAUUAUCUUGCAUUUUAAGUUAUUUGUGUGUCACGUGUUUAGUUUGUUGUCUUGCAUUUUAAGUUAUUUGUGUGUCUCAUUUUAAGUUAAGAAAAUAAAAAUAAAUUAUUUUAUAAAAUUUUGUUUUUCCAAAAAAACUAAAAAAUAAAUAGUUAAUUGUAUUAUUUUAAUUUAAUUAUAAUCGAUAAUUUUAGGGCUAAACUACACUUUUCGCCCCCUAUGUUUCAAAAUGUUGCAAUUUUGGCCCCCUAUUAAAAAAAAUGGCAAUUUUGGCCCCUUUCAUCCAAAAAUUGCUGAGAAGACGCCACGUGUCCCAAAAAAAGGGCCAUAAUCGCAACUUUUUGUAAAGAUAAGAGGUCAAAAAGCAUAUUUCCCUUAUGUUAGGAGGUCAAAAGAGCAUAUUUCCCUAAACAUAUGGGGCAAAAGGUGUAGUUUAGCCUAAUUUUAGGUAAUUAUAAAAACAAAAAUAUAAAAUUAAAUAAAAAUAAGAAAUAAAAGGUGGUGGGGUAGAGUGUUGACUGAAAAAACCAUUGGAGAGGCAAAAAAAUUGAAUGAGUGUUGAAUUAUGAGAGAGAAAAUUAUGUAGAGUGUUAGAAAUUGAAAAAGUGGGUGUUGAAGGGUAUUGAAAUUUUUUUACCAUUGAGAAUGGUCUUACUUAAAACCAAAUCGUGACCAUUGGUUGGUUUAGUUCUUGUGUAAUCAAUCAAUAACUGAAGCUUUAAAUCAACGACAAGACUUGACUAGCUAGCUAGCUGUGAGCCUGUGAAGUCUCUGAAUAAUUUAAUUGAACAUUUACUUUAUACGUUGGACCAUAAGUUUGUUAUCAGAACUACAAUAUCAAAUUAUUCACUUAAUGCUGAUUGCAGAAACAGCUCUGCUAAUUUAAUGCUAGCUACUGUCCAGUUGUUGAGAACAGAGAAUUGAUACAAUUGCAGCACAUCUUCCGCCUAUGGUAAUUUCUCUUUUAUCUUCUCCUUCUUACAUGCAAACAUAAUAAUAACUACCACUUUAUUAUUGCAUAUUUGCAUUUAUGAAAAGUUAUAACAAUCUCAGUAUGUUUUCUAAAAUUAUUGGAAAGACUGUCUAGUUGUUGAACCAUAAUUAUAUUUCUACAACAGAGUUGUUGCAGUAAACACUACCUCGCUACUGCAUAUUGGAGAAUGAUCUUCAACAUUUGCUGAAACUGCUGGAACUAAGGUAAUCAUACUUUUAACAAUUUUAAUUAAUUUCUUAAGUUUUAUAAAUCAACUUGAGUUUUAUGCUUUUGUAUUAUUUUUUAGAGAACACCAACUUGAAUGGAUAAGGAUUGAAUCAAUCAAACAUAGUCUAUCUGUAAUAAAUUUUCUGUUCAAGCCAUGUUAUCUUUUCUUUUCAAACUAAGAGCUUAAAACCUGAAGCCUGCUUCCAAGUCAAAAUCCUCAAAAAUGUCCUCUAAUUUCAAGCAUUGAAAAAAGGGGAAAUAACAGUGGAUUGAUACAUACUGACGUAAGUUACAAAAACUUCAAUAUUUUAGAAAGCUACUACAUUGAUUAAAUAAAAGUUCGAUAUCCACUAUGAAACACUAACAGGAGAGGAGAGCCUUACCAUUUUGUAAAUGAUAUGAAAGGAUUAUUUAAUAAGUUGCAACAAUGCAAGGUCCUAUCUUUUAACUACGCACACAAUAUGCCAAAACUAUUUUGUAAAAGUUAUUGACUCUGCAGCUUUUGUUUGCUGCGGAACAUGAAUUACUCCUAAUUCUCUUGAUUGAAUCUUUAAUAUUGGAUGGACUCCCUGUUUCAAAUUACUUUGAUGAAAAAUGUGUCAUCAAGUAUCAUUUUUCAAAUGAACAGACUUCGAACGAAGAAAAUCUUACUACACAAAAAAAUUCUUUGAUGAAAAGUGUGUCAUCUACUAUCAUUUAUCAACCAUUUUAUUUCUCAAUACACAAUACAACACACACACACAAACAUAUAUAUGCCUAACUUUGAUCUAUUGAAAUUUAUUUAGAUGGCGAGUUUUCUGACUGAUUUGGCGAAGCCUUAUGUAGAUAAAUUGAUAAAUGGGGCGAUUGAAGAGUCAAGUUAUAUAUGUUGCUUCACGUGCAUUGCUAAGGAUUUUGAAGAAGAAAGAGCUAGACUAGAAGUAGAAAGGACGAAGAUGUUUAAGUUACUGCUCUUUCUUGGGAAGAAGAAGCCGAUAAGCUUAUUCAAGAAGACACAAGAACAAAACAAAAAUUACCACCACUUCACUUUCUAGAAGUUGUUUUAGGAAAUUCUGACGAUGCCAACAUGGUACUAGGGUUUAUGAGAUCCAAAGGCGCUGCCUUUUACUACCCCCACCGGACCAUGGGUUCCGGUGGUCUUGCCGACUCCUGUUUUCUUCAUCUUUUUGCUUUGCUGAAAGCCUUGGAGAGAGCAAAUGGAUUCGUUGUCAAUAUUGAUGAUCCGGAAUCUGUGCUUAACUUGAUCGCUAUGCUGAGAGACUUCCAAUUUGAUGGUGCUUGGAUUGAUGCUUUGGAAAAAGUUGUGAAAGAGUCCAUUGGUGUGUCAAACACUAAACUAGCAAGUUUGGAAAAGGCCAAGGGUCAAUCGGCCAUGAGGCUUGGACAAGCAACACUGAUUCGUGAUUAUCAUCAAAAACAAAUGGAGUUAGAGCAAGGCAAAAUUCUCUCACUUGACUUGGAGCGUGAAAGGAUCUUGAAGUUUAGGCAGGAACUUAACAAUGUUCGUAUGAUUUAGGUUGGGAAUUUGUUUUUUAGCACCUUUUUCAAGAUCCUGCCUAAACUUCAAGAUCCUUUCACGCUCCAAGUCAAGUGAGAGAAUUUUGCCUUGCUCUAACUCCAUUUGUUUUUUAUGAUAAUCACGAAUCAGUGUUGCUUGUCCAAGCCUCAUGGCCGAUUGACCCUUGGUCUUUCCUAACUUGCUAGUUUAGCGUUUGACACACCAAUGGACUCUUUCACAACUUUUUCUAAAGCAUCAAUCCAAGCACCACCAAAUUGGAAGUCUCUCAGCAUAGCGAUCAAGUUAAGCACGGAUUCCGGAUCAUCAAUAUUGACAACGAAUCCGUUUGCUCUCUCCAAGGUUUUCAGCAAAGCAAGAAGAUGAAGAAAACAGGAGUCGGCAAGACCACCGGAACCCAUGGUCCGAUGGGGGUAGUAAAAGGCAGCGCCUUUGGAUCUCAUAAACCCUAGUACCAUGUUGGCAUCGUCAAAAUUUCCUAAAACAGCUUCUAGAAAGUGAAGUGGUGGAAGAUUGGUUGCACCAAUCUCGACCACCGUCGCCACGGUGGAGUGGAGAAAACGGAGGACCUCCGUUACGGCGGCGAGCUGGAGGAGUAACCUGAACCCAAACAUCAAAUUUAAAUGAUUCACAUUUCCACAUUUGGAAAAACUUGAACUCAAUAACUGCGGGGACGGUAAAAUCAUCAAGGUAUCCCUAUUUUGUAUAUCUUUGUUAUUCGUGAAUCUAAACUUGAUGAUUUUAAGUCAGCAUAUAUUUUUAAAUGAAUAAUGUUCAAGCCUGCAAAAAACAUUAAAAUUCAAAGGAUGAUUAAACAUGCGGAUUUUUUAAACAAGUAAUUUUAUGUUGGGACAAAAAAGAAAACAUAAUAAUUUUAUGUGAACUAAAAACAUUUAAUUUUUUUAAACAAAUACAUUUUUUUAGAGUGUGUCUACUAAUAUGCACCUCUUAAAAUUGGUUCAAGGGUGGUUUACUAUAUUUAGUAAACAAUGAGAUUUAUAUUAAUAAAAUAUGAAGAACAGAAAAAAUAUUUUAUUAUAAUUUACUAAAAUAAAGAAGGGUCCACCUUUGGAUGGUCCAUAUUAAAUAUUAGAAAAAAUAGCGAGUUCAUCUAUCUGAGAACUCUUAUUUAUAGAGAAGAUGAACUAAGUGGUUGCCACUUAAGUGAAAGAAUAAAAAUGAGAAAUAUAUAAAUAAAAAUAAAGAGAUACAAAGACCAUGCAGACAUUAAACAUAUUCCUGGUACAACCAAGCUGAAAAUAAAUCAUGGAAAUACAAACCAAAUAGAUCAACCUUAAUCAAUCCUAACAAAACAAUCACUCAUUACGAACGCAACUCAGUGAACUCGCGUACGGGUAUGAAAUCAGGUUACAAAAAAAAUGACGAGUAAGCGUCUGUAGGAUCAAACAAGGUUCAUAAUUGACGAAUGGAUUGGCCGCAAACGUGGUAUCAAGAUUCAUGUACCAACAACCAUUGAACAAAGCAAUAGGCAUAAAAGCUCUUUUGAGCAUAACAGUCUGAUCACAAUCAAAAAGACUAAGAUGGAUAAGAAGUCAGUACUAGAGAGUAGCCCGCCCGUCUUCAGUCUUGCAGAUCUCAACAAACGUGGAAUAUCAGAGAAUCAAGCAAGCACAGAAACACCAAAUCAACCGAUUUCAAAGACGUGUUUGAUCUCAGAUCGAGGGAUGAGUUCAAUAUGUUAGUAACCAAACAACCCUUUUGAGUUAAGACAACCAGACCCUUUCGGGUUUGAGAAUCCAAGCCACCGCAAAAAAGGCCAUAUCUAUUGCCACCACCCACUCUCAUAACAGAAACACACGGCAAACACACAAAACAAAAAUGAACAACAACACAGACCAAAACAAACAACAACACAAAGCAAAAAUAAAAAAACGGUGAAACAAGUUGAACUUAGGUUUGCAAUUUUUGUAAUAAAGUGCAACAAGUUGAAAUAUGUAUUUCCAAUCUCCAUAUGUAAAGAGCUUCCUGAGCUAAAUGUUCUGAUGAUAAGAGAAUCAGAUGAGCUAGAGGAAAUAUUUGUAAUUGAAGGUGAUGAUCAGAAAGUGAAGAUUCCAAAUCUAGAAUGUGUAGUAUUUGAAAAUCUACCAAUCCUCAGUCAUGCCCAGAGAAUUCAAUUUCAAGCUGUAAAAAAUCGUUUCAUACGGAAUUGUCAAAAACUCUCUCUGGAAUCAACAAAAAUACAUGCCUUGUCUGCUUCAUAUUUUCGCAACGGUACACACUCUAUCCAAUAUUUUUAAAAACUAUUACAUGUUUGCUGUAAAUUAUUACAUACGAUUUGUUUAAAGGAGCGGUAAGAGGUAUGCAUGCAUAAGUAUUUCUAAAAUGUAAGGGCUCAUGUAGUGACCUAUCUAAUAGAAGCUUUGAUUUUAUGUAAAAUUUAAUUAUUAGGUAGAUUGAUAAACAAUUUUGUGCAUCUUUAAACUUGAAAAUGGUGAUAUACAAUUGAAAGUGGAAGUUUUUAUUUUAUUAUUAUGCUUGAGUUACUAUAUAAUGAUGUUAAUCUCUAUAUUAUUUUGCUGUAGAUCCUGAAUUGUGUAGGUAUUUCAAGACUCUGUUUCGACAACAACUACAAAAAGAGACCAAAGGCAACAAUAGUGGUAAUGAAAAUCCAGAAACCUCUAAAAAAAUUGCCGUUGGGGUUGAAGUUAAAGCAUCAUCAGAACAUGAGCUGACUUCUCCAAAGGUCAAUACCGAUCUAUUGAUUCAAGCUUACCGCACCAGAAUUUAAUCAACGUGACAAUGUAUUUGAUUCAACCAUGCUAUUUUUUGUGCAGAAAAAAAUGAAACGGACACCAGAGACAGAGCAUGAACUUGUGGAAAAUGUUCCCGAUUUAGAAAUACCAACAAAUUCAAAAGUGAUUUCCAGGCCAUGUCAAACUGCGUUAGAAUUUUAAUGGAUGUAAUUAAUAGCUGAAGAUCAUUAUUGCUUCUGUUCUUGUUACAGGAGUUGAUGAAUGAACAAUCGAUGGAACAGCAACGUCUACUUGGAGAACCUGAUACUACCAUCAAACUCUGUUGUCAAUAGCGGCCUAACGCGGCGCGGUCGCGUUGCGCGUUAGGCAAAAGCGGCUGAAAACCGGGUUUUGCGGCCGCUUUUCGUGGAGCGGGAGCGGGUCUAGCGCGGCACGUUUCCGGGUCGAAGCGAAAUUACAGAAUUACCCCUCACUUAAGUGACAUUAGAAAGGUUAAUUUUGUAAUUUUCAAAGCCCUAUUUCUUCACUUCAUUCCAUCGUACAGAGAACAGCCGCUUCUUUUCCUCUUCUCCCAAUUCAAUCGUACAACACUAUUAGGUUUUCACUUCAUCUCUUCACUUCAUUCCAUCAUCUCUUCACUUCAUCUCUCAGCUGCUCAGAUCUUUCACCUCAUCCAUCAUUCCAUAUCUCAGCUGCUCAUAAUUAUUGAAUUCGAAGUUUUAUUUCAUGUUUAGUACUUUUGUUACUUUAAGCUUUAGAGGCUUAAAGUGUUUGCUACCUUGAAUUUUAUUAGUAUUUCUUGCAAGUAUGUUCUUAUGUUUUGCCUAAGACAUGUUUUAUUUCAAAUUAUGAAUUGAGUAAUAUUUAAGUUGUUUUAGUAUUUCUUUUUCAACAUUAUAGUAUUUUAGUAUUAAAUAUAUUAGUGUCCGCGUCAUGUAAUAGCGCCCGCGUCGCGCCCGCAUACCGCACCGCGUCAAUUUUUGGUGUGGCCGCGCCGCGUUUCCGCUUUGACAACAGAGCCGUCAAACCUUCUCAGGUAAAUCAUGUAAUGUCGUAACACCGCGUUGUGCAUAUAAAGCUAAAAAUGAAAUACCGAAAGAAACAUAUUUUAUUUCAAGUGAAUCUUACAAAUAUGCACAACUAACUAAUUUACCUUUCUAUUGUAUACAAUUAGUUGGAGGUGUCUACCAUUUCAGAACCAAAGAAUGUAGCAGAAACGUGUUCCACCAAUUCACCAACAAAGAAUUAGCCACCUAUACAAGUAGUUACUCCUUGCUAGUAUUCUUUUUGACACUUUGUCUAUGCAGGAAUUGACUUAUACUACAAUCUUAAACAUCUUUUUAAUUUUAAGCAGGUUAGCGAAAUAAGUGUUGAAGAAGGAACUACUUUAUGGAUGAUGAUUUGUCCAUUCUCUCCUUCCGAAUCUUUCGUCCUUUUCGGUUUGACAACAGAUAUUAAGAAAGUACAAAAUUAGACAGGUUUAGUCCAUUUUAUUCGUAAUCCAUUCAAUGCAUGCUUUCGGUUUUUUGUAAGUGUGCAAAAGAAAAAACAUCUUUCAUUAUAUUUGGUUUCCUAAAAGAACCAAAAUUUUGGGACAAAAAUAAAAACUAAAAGAACCAAAGAUCAAGUACGGACGGAGUAAUAUGUAUUGAGGCUAAUCCAAAAAAUCAUAUUAAGACUUCAUGAUGAUAUCAUUUGUAUGUUUGAAUUUUUGUAGUAAUAUAGUGACGGCGAAAUGGCCAUAUCUUCUCCUCCAAUUUCCAUGACAAGGCAUUUUGCCACUCCAGACGUUCAUGUUAAUAACUUGCAGGAAACUAGUAACACUAAUGAUGAUCAAGGUGAAGACUCUUUGGAUCAAUUUUAUUUUCUUAAGUUAUCUCAUCACCCUUUUCAUUUUGAAGUUUAAAUCUCUUCUCUCACACCUUUUGUUCAGUUUCUCUAAAUGACGAUGCCGUCAUAAAAGUAACCUCAAUUGUUGAGGAACGAUAUUCUAAGGAUGUCGAAUUUGAAGUUCUAGAAUCGAAGCCCGCCCUUAUCAUUCCUUCGCCUCAAGCAUUUCAAUCUCCUUCGAUGCUAUCCGGAGGUAUAGAUUUUCUCCCUUCAUUUUAUUUUUUAGAACAUUACUUGGUACUCAGAGAGGACUAAUUAUCCUUUUCUAUACUUUCAGGGGACCCUUCUCAACUAGAUGAAGAAUUAGUAAGUUCAUCAUGAGGUCCAUUUUUUCAUUAAUAAUUGCCAUUCGAUAGGUUUCCUAUGAAACAAGAUUUAAACUAAUUUUUUUAUAAAGAUUUUUUUUUUUUAAGUCUAUUGCUUCCGAAUCUUAUAUCCAAAGUUAUGGAGAAUCGUUGCUCAAUAUUUGUAGAUGCUUAACACUGAAAUUCUUGUUUUCUAUUUUUAAUUUUAUUCGUAGUGGAAUCAGACUCUUGCAAAAUAUAAUAUAUGGUGUAAAAUAUAGUGAGGUUGAUCCAUUAUAAGAUAUGAUAUAUCAUUUAGUGAUUUAAAUCUGUGUAGGAAGAUCUUGAUGACCAAAUGGACAUGACUUCUUUUUCCAUUGCUACUACAGAGACCAAUGAUGAAGGUGAAAAUGCUUUGAAUCUAUUUUUAUAUUCUUAUCUUACUUCGAUAUUCAUCGCCCUUUUGAUUUUGAACUUUAUCCUCUCUCACAAUUUGUAUAGUUUCUCGAAAUGAUGAUGCUUUCAAGAAAGUAAGCUCAAAUAUUGAGGAACAAUUUCCUAAGAUUGAUGAUAUAAUAGUUUCCAAAUCUAAACCCUCUCCUUGAAUCACGUCUUUUGUUGCAUCUUUUGUUGCAUCUGAGUUUCCUCUGGUGUCUUCUAAAGGUAUUUUAUUGCUUGCAUUUAAUUUUUAACUAACUUUGGUGUGCUCAAGUAGGCUUAAAUAUUCUUUCCUAUACUUUCAGGGGACCCUUCUCAAAAAGUAGAAGAUUUCAGUUCUUCUUUGCAUGUCAAGAGGGAGCUUGAGCAACUAGUCUCCAAGAAGCAUUUCGAUUAUGAUAACUUGUCUUUGUUGACUGAUUUCUUUGUUAAGCAUCCUUUGGUUCUUUUAAACGACACUUCAUUGAGUAACAGAUACAAGGGUUAUACCUACAAUUGUCUAGCGGAGCUAUUGAAAUUCCUCCAAACUCAUAGUGUGUUGGAUGUGUUAGGUUCAAGCCACUCUGAAUUUGUUGAGUUACUACAAGAUGCACGCAGAUUUCCAUUUCAUAAGGAAUGGUUGGAUGAUAUCGAAAAGCGCGCUUUGUUGCCUGGUUUACAAGUCUCUCAAGAUGCAUUGCAAAAAUUGUUGGACUCAAAACACAUUUUGACUCAACAUGUGGCGGAUCUUAAGCAUCAAUUGGCUUCCUCUGAAGCUGUUUUGCAGAACAUCACUCAACAGGAGGCACAAAUUUUACAAACUCGGGCUGCUUUAAGUGAUCCUAUUGGCUACUAAACUAUUUUUUUCCAUACAUUCGUUCAAGAUGUUCCCUGCUUCUCUUUAUCCUUGAAUAUUAUUUAUUGCUUGGGUUGUUUUUCUGUUUUUCAUUUCAAAUGAAUUAAACAAAUCUUAUUGAUUGUUGUAUCAUUGUAUUAUUGAUAUCUUCCUUAUUUCGAAUAAGAAAACACGUUGAACACAUUUUGCUAUGCUAUACACCACUCAUCAAUCAAUAUGCAUCAAAUGCAUCCUAAGAUUUGGAUAAAUAUUGGAAAAUAUCAAAUAGAAUUUCAUAUUCAGAAGAUUAUCCAAACUAGUAUAUACGACAAACAAAAUGUGACUAAGAGAAAAGUUGGGAUCAAACAACAAAAAAAAUACUGGGAUACAGUUUCAAUAUGCAGAGAUGAUGAACGAAUUUAGUUUUGUAGAUUCAAUAGCAUGGUUGUUAUAAGUUACAGACGGCACCUGCAGUUGCAGCUGCAAUAUAAAGGUUUUUAAAGUCCUCCUAAUUAUAUUACAACCACAAUGUAGACAUAUUAGUGGUAUUUUUCAGAAUUUUAUCGCAAGAAGAAAGUUCUAAACGUAACAUGGUAAUAUGUUAAUGUUUAGUGUAGCCUCUAAAGGUCAGAUAGACUGUUCAGAUUUUUCAUCUCAGAACUUUUGAAAGGGCUAAGAAUAAAGUUGUGUUGUAAGUGAUUAGGUUCGAGCCAUUCUUGUACAAGGGGAAAUGAAAAACAGUGUAUAAACAAUGUCUAGUAAUUAUAUUCCAUCAUUGCUACUUUGUUAUGCUUUCCAUUGUGGGAACAUUUGUACUUCAAUAUUGUUCAUUUCUUGGGUGUAACGUUUCGUCGUUUCUCAUCCGAAGUGAACUAAAGAGUCUCAUUAUGUUUGUGUAUUUAAAACUAUUAGUGAUUGUUGCAUGUUACAUUGAUGAAGUUAUUUUACUGAAUCUUUCAUACAAUAUUGAUUGUGUUUGGGUGUAUUUAAAUAAUGCACCCAAACCCCAAUAUAUAUAUAUAUAUAUAUAUAUAUAUAUAUAUAUAUAUAUAUAUAUAUAUAGGACAUAUACUAUGAGAAUGUCAUUUUUAUAUAAUUGUAUCGUGUCAUUAGUAUUCCUUUUUUGAACACUACUAAAAUAGAAUUUUGAUUUUCUUUUUUAUUUUGUAACAAAAAAAUUGAAUUUUGAAUUCCUCAUGGAUCAAGCUUCGUAGAACAUUUGCUCAGAAGAAAAAAAAAGUUUCUUAGAACAUAUCCUUUUUUUUAAUUUAUCUUCCUAUAAAGUCUAGAUAAAUGCAUGCAUGCACAUUAUAUGAACCUCGUUGAUCAAUUAACAUUUUUGAAACGAAUGGAAAUUAAGCAUCACUCCCUCAUGUGCAUCUAUAGCUAGCACCAUUUGACAUUGAUGUCUUCGAACAUUUGGUGCAACUCUCAUAAUACCAUCCAAACUGGUUAGGAUUGAAUUUAGUUGUUUUUCAAAUAGUGAUGCAAUAUGUAUCCUAACACAAAUUAUGCACAUGAAAUAAAGAAUAAUGCAAUAUGUAUUUUUAAUUUGUGCGUCAAAAAAACACAAAGCAUGUUUGUGCAUAAAAAAAGCAGACCUUGACUAAGUUUAUAAAUCAGCAAUUGGCCUAACCUAAGACAGAUUGGAAAAAUCGUUGUACGUUGAGAAUAAGCCGAACUCUGACUUAAGUUCUGACUGAUGCUUUGACUCUGAGCUUGAGAAGUGUGAAGGUCAUGAGUCAUGACAACAAUUUAAGAAACAUGGUCAAAAAACAAUCAAAUCAGAUUGUGAAAUAAUAAGUUAGCAUGAGCUAAAAUUCAAUCAUCAUGACUGAAGGUGAGAAAAACACAAGAAGGGGGGUUGAAUUGUGUUUUCUUUUUCUCUAAAAAAUACUGUUAUCUUGAUUUUGGGGUGUCAAGUCAUUAAUUAGGCUUGAACCUUUCAAUCAUUGAUAAUCUCUAUUUUUUUUCUUGGGAAGGGUAAAAUUGAGAAAACCCUUAGAAACUCUAAGUUCGGGGGUCGUUUUCGUUACGGGAAGGUGUUAGGCACCCGCAAUGACUAUAGUACUCUAUCGGAACCGUUUUCCUAAUUUUAUGUCUACGCUUUAUUUUUAAUGCUAUUUAUUAAAAAAGGAAGUUGUUUAUGUUAAGAAUGGGGGGAGGAGUGUUUGGAUUUUUAUUUUAUUGAACUUGGAGAGGUUUUGACCUCUUGCCUACAUACCCUUUUAAGGGAUCAAAAUUUCAUGUAGUUCUCUUUCAAAAAAUGUUUUUGUGUGUUUCAAUUGAUUUUAAGUUUUUUGGAAAUGGGUUUUGAAGAAAGGAAAGAAGCCGUGAAGGCAUGAGAAAAAAUGGUGAGUGGUUGGUUCAAUUAUUAAGAAAAGAGUCUAUGUUGGAAUUAAAGUUCAUUUUGAGUUUCUCUUAAGAAAAUAAAGGGAAAAUUCAAUGGAGUUUUGACUCCAAGGUUUAUUAGGAAAAAAAAUUUCAAGUGAUGGAAUUUGCUUAUUUUUAAAAAAGAAGAAUAUUUUUCUAAGUAUCGCGUUCCCUAAGCAUACAUCUAAAGCGGUAAAUCAUCAUACAACGUGUGUGCGUGUCGGUGCUUGUAUCGGUGUACAUCAUUAGAGUCCAUUGUCCAUUACAUAGGCCCUAGUUUACAUUCUAUGGUCUUGCAAGAAUUUAAAAGAAAAAUUGAAACUACCUAAAUUUACAUGCCAACUUUAACAUAGAAAUGAAUAGUAAAAGACCUAAACUAUAAGAAAUGGAGAUGAAAUGAUAGAAUGCUUAUGAGGUGAAUGAAACAAGAAAUAAAAAUGGUUAGUAGAAUAGGGCAUAAAAUGAUAGAACAAGUUAGCAAAGAAAUACGAGAUAAACGGUAAAAACAACAACAAUAACCAAAAUGUAAAAAGUACACAUUACUUGCAACACAAGAAAUUAACAAAUCACAUUAAAAAUAGUACAAACAAACACAUGAUCAGAGACAUAUUCACCACAAAAUUGCAUAUCAAUCAUUCAUAUCGUGCCAAGACCUCAUGAACAAAUUAUGGCAAGAAAAUUCACAAGUUUAGUCAAAAAAUGAACAAAUCAACAAGAAAACAUUACAUAUAUUUUUUAUCAUUUUUUAACAUGUAAAAACAUCACAAAAAUGUUAAAAAUGCAUCAAGAAACACAUAGAAAUUUUUUUAGGAAUUUUUGCAAGAAAAUUAGAACAAACAGGGGUUCAAAUAGCAAGACAGCAAGGUGCAAAUAGCAAGAAUACUAACAAGAAAAAAAGGAAUCUGCGCAGAAGGAGGCCCAAGCCCAAAACCUAAGGCCUGGAUGCACAGGGAGCGUUGGAUUGAUCCAGGGAGGGAAACCCUAGAUCCAACGCUCAGGAUUGCAGGGGAUUGGACCGGUCUUGAACCGGUCCGGUCUAGUGGUCUAUAUAAGCAAGCCUACACCGGUUCAAUCACUUUGCUAUGUUCUUUCUCUCUCUUCUCUCAUCCUAGUGAGAGAUGCUCUCGCCUCUCUCUUCUCUUCCUCCGCCGGUUUCUGGAAUGAGCGGCCGGAGAAGAUGAAGAUCUGGCCGGAACCUUCAUAGGUCCGCCGGAAUCUUCAUCUUCUCCGGCGAGAUCUCCAGUUUUCCGGCAACCUCUAAUCUCACCAGAACUUCGAAAAUUUUACAACAAACUCUUCGUUUCUUCAUCCUAAACAUGAUUCUAACACUGGUUUUCACAAAUAAAGCUUGAAUCAACGUAGAUCUAAAGAUUUUGCUACGGUUUUGAAAGUAUUUUUAGGUUUUUCAGUUUUUUGAAAGAAACUCUUUGAAACUUUGAAGAUCUACAUUGAUUCGUUCUUGUUAUUGUUCUUGAGAAAGGAAAAUGAAGAUUCAAGUGUUACCUGUGAUUUAAUCGGAGAUUUCGAACGAAAAUCUUCGGAAAACUUCGAUCUGAUUCUGUUUCGUUGAUUUCGUUCUUGAAUCCGAAAAUAAAUCGGUGUUCUGGCUGGUUCGAUUCUUUCUUCUUCUUCACCGGUUCAAAUUCUUCUUCUUUUCCUCUUCCUCUUCACUGAUUCUCUGUGAUCGGUGCUUGAGUUUGCCAAUGGCGAAUUCGCGCCUUGAAUUGCAGAGAAUCCGGUUCAAUGAUGAUGAUUGUUUGAAGAAUCACUGAGAACUGAACGAAUUUAGUUGAAAUUGUUGAUGAAUUGUGAUUCUGGAAUUCUAGGGUUCAUGAAUGUUCUUCAUGUUCUUGAUAGUUUCUGAGUUUUUGAUCUAACUGAAUGGAGAGAGAAACUGUGAUUCUGUUUGUUGAGGUGGCGUGAAUUGUGUGGAUCCUCUGGUUUGUGCAGUGAAUGCACCUUUUAUAGGCUGUCAAGUGUGCUUGAGACCCAAUGGGAGAGGGACACCUGUUUUUUGGACUUAGGGACCUCUCUGCAAAAAAGAAAAAUUGAAGGAUUGGACUGUAAUAAAAAAAAUGGACUAAAAUGCAAUUUUUAAACUGUUUGGGACUGAAAUGCAAUUUUAGAAACUGUUCAGGGACUAAAAUGCAAUUAAAAAUAAAAUUGGACUAAAAUUGGUAAUUUGGAAAAAACGUAAAUUGAAACCAAAAAUAAAAUCAACAAAAGGACUAAAAUGAACCAAUUACAAAAAUGAGGUAUUUCAAAAUACCUCUCUGUCGAAAUUUUGACAGGAAAAGACCAAAAUGCCCCUAGGGACUAAAAUGACUCAACCUGACUCAGAUGCAAUUUUGAAAUGAUUUUAAACAAAGACUCAACAGUGAUUUGUAAAACAAGUUGAAAAGACUCGUAGGAAAACACAAGAAAAGUAAUGCAAUGAUUCAGAGAAUUUUCAAAUAACUUGUAAUGCAAGAAAGACACUUUGGAUAGUUUUAUGCAAGAAAAUCAUGAUUGAACACACUUUGAGACAGAGACAGUAAAAUAUGCAGAUGAAAAGAGAGUCAAGAUUCAGAGUAAAACAACAGUAAAUUGACAAAUAUCAGUGUUAGAAAAGAAAUUUGAAUGAGUAUUUUUAGGUCCAAAAUCAGGGUAUAACAAUUACUUCUUCUGAUAAUACUUCAGAAGCUGUUUUGGAAUGCUUCUGAUGUAAUAACCAGAAUCAGAUAUGCAGCGGAAAAGAUCAAAGCAGAGAAAAGAAAAACGAGACACAAGUAGUUAUCCUGGUUCCUUCCACAAAUCGGAAGUAGUCCAGUCCCCCUUGCACUUCCAAGGAGAUUUCACUAUAAUCACAAAGAUUACAAAUGCUCAAUACUCUCUAAGUAUGAGACUUCUCAAAAAUGCUCAAGCACGCACGCAAGAGUCUUCUAAUGCUCAAGCACACAGGCAAGAGACUUCUGUUCAAACAAAAAUACAGAGAAAAUGUUUGACCUUGAACACUUGAUAUACAAUCAGUAGUGUUCACAAAUACAAUGCAAUAAAAACUCUAGACUUGUGAAUUUCUAAGAUGUAUCAAAUCAGUGCAGAAAUUCAAUGUGCUUUGUAGAAUCAAAUUGACAGGGUUUUGGCGCUUUUUAACUUGUAUAUCUCUAUCUACAAUCUUCAAGUCUUCACUCCCUUAUAUAGAGGUGUGAAAGAGACGUUGAGAUGAUUAGCACGUCUAAAGAGUCGUUGAGUUCCUUUGAUCAUCCACCAGUAAUCAUUUGUCUGAUUUGGGUGUAGUCCUUUGAAGAAUUAGCUUCAAAUUCAUUCCCAUCUUGAAGGAACAAUUCUGCAGGCAUAGCUGUUGUCUUGUCUUGUAGCGUAGACAAAAACAGAGUAGUGGAGGUAGUGGUUGUACACUUGUACUUUGUCAACUCUAUUAACGCAGGACAAGUACUCAGUGUUCUUCAAAUGACCGUUGAUACCUCCCUUUCAAUUCUUCGUUCUUCUUAGACGAGGUUGAAACGAGAAACAGCUACUUUGAAUCUUCAGUUUAAAUUCACUGAUUAAUUGUACCUUCUGGUGAUGAUUUCGCUUCUGAUGAAAACCUUGCUUCUGAUGACGUCAUUACUUCAGAAGCACUCCAGCUUCAUAAGCACUUUAGCUUCAGACGCAGUUUUCUUCAGAUGCUUCAGAUUACUUUGCUCUCCAUUGUUCUUCCAAGACCUAUUGAAAUUGAUUGACUUGCCUAUGGUCCUGUACACUUGAACAAUUAUUAGCAAUAACCAAUUGACAAUUUUUAAUAUCUUGUUAUCAUCAAAAUUUAUUAUGGUUUAUUGUGAAACACAUUUUGUUCCAACAAUGACCUCUACUAUACUCCACACUACAAAAGAAGAUUUUUCUACACUCAUGCAGCAUAACAAUUUCUGGUACAUAAUCCACUAAAAAUUGUAAAAAAAAACAAAAACAAAAAGACCCUUAAAAUGCAGAAUUGUGAAAAAAGGAAGAAAACCACCUAUGAUGAAGCAAAAACUAAAACAGUGUUGAAAAAUGAACCCCUCAAGCCAUAAAAAUCAGUCAACUAAAGUCAUGCAUGGUCUCAGAACCAUGAAAAAAGGAAGAAAAUGACCUCUUACGAAGAAGAAAGAGAAACAGUGUUCACAGUUGAACUUAGAUACCGUUAGGGCAAGAUUUUUUACGGUCUAAAAGUUACUUCAAAAUAAAUUUAAAAUAAAGGCUUUUAAGAAAGAAGCUAAAGUUGUUUGGUUUCUUUGUUUUUUUAGUUUCAAAGCUAUUUUUAAGUUAAAUGUUGGUUGGGAAAAUAUUAUACAAACUUUGAUAUUUUUUUUUUUUAUGUUGUCCGGAUUCGAACCUCGGACUUGGCAUAUAUUUAUGCAUUGUUCCUAUCAUCUAAGCUAAACUCACGAGGACAAAACUUUGAAUUUCUUAUGAAUUAACAUAAUAAAGAAAAAAUGUUUAACAUAUUUUCUGAAGGCUAAAAAUGUUAAAAACGAAAAGAUAUUUUUUUUUUACAAAUACUAUCUUUACUCAAUAAUGUUUAUUUUUUUUAACAUGAAUGCAAAUUUGUAUCAUCGUAUAAAUAACUUGUUAGAUAUUUGAAUAGGAGAAACAAUUUAAGGAGCCUGAAAUAAUAACAUAAAUAAUAUCAAAAUAGCUGAUUUUUUCUAUUUCAAUUAUACUUUAUAAAAAAUUUCGUUAUAAGAAUACCAUAUUUUUGGUGUCUUUUAAAAAGAUAAGAAUUUAUAUUAUAUUUGUUACAUUGUUGGUGUCAUCGAAACAUAUAUGUUUAGUUUUUUUUUAAUAAGAAAAAAAUAUGCAGAGUUUGUUACAAUAUAAAGGUACAAUAUAUAUAUAUAUAUAUAUAUAUAUAUAUAUAUAUAUAUAUAAGUAUAAUUUUUUUAGGCAUCUAUACAUUUUUUGAAGAAAAGACAUCUACAAUUUUACUUUUGAUUAGAAUCAAAAUUUUAUAAAAAUAAUCAUACGCAUUAUGCAACGCCAAAAAAAUUAUACGCAGUAGCGUGACAAUAAAACUAACACACAUAAAGUAUUACUCUUUUUUUUUUGGUAGAUAGACGAAAUGGCAAAGCCAUUAUAAACUCACACACACAAGUAGAGGUGCCGGGGUUCGAACCCCGGUCAUGGCAUCCGGCCUAACAAUUUCGGCAUUUUUGCCAGUUGAGCUAGGACUUCUGGAUACAUAAAGUAUUACUCUAAAUGCUAAUGUGUGUGUCUGUAUAUAUUUGCGAGGUUGAAGAAAGAAAAUAAAAAUAUUUAGUAUCAUUAAAUGACAGCGUGAAUAAAAAUAUUUGUGAGGUUGUGAUGAUUAAACGAUAUUGAAAUUAAAUACAUAAGUGAUAAAAAGAUAAUAAAAUUCCUUUAAAAAAAGUAAUAGAAUUAAAUGGGACCUCCUUAAAAAAAUUAAAUGGAACGGUUCAAAAAAAAUAAUAAUAAAGUAGAAGAAAAAAACAUAUUGAAAUAUAAUAUUAAAAAAUAAAAGAAAAGUUUCCCAACGUGAAUUGAAGAAAGAUUCUUGUGAAAUAAAUUGUCGAGAAGUAGUUUUUUGAAGUAAUAUUCAACAACUUUUGGCCAAAGCUUAUUCUAUUCAAUUUUAUGCAUUAAAAAAGUACAUUUUUUAGUAAGUACUUAAUUGGUAUUGUAUUUGGCCUAACUUCUCCUUAAAAAUGUAGAGAAGUUGAAAAAAAAAAUCGGGUCAAACGGUAUCUUAAUCUCCCACAACGGCAGUGUAAAAGCAAUUGAAUUUGGGAGAAAAAAUUCAAAAAUAAUUAAAAAUAAAAAAAUUGGAAAAUAGUUAAAAGUUAAAAGUUUUUAAAAAUAUAAAAAUAGAUAAAAAAAUCAGUGAGGUAGCACUCAACCAAGCAACACUAAAAAAAAUUAUAUGCAUUAGCUUAACAAAAAAAACAGACAUAAAAUAUUACUAUAAACGUUAAUGUAUGUGUGUAUAUAUAUUCCCGAGGUUGAAGAAAGAAAAUAAAAAUAUUUGGUAUCAUUAAAUGACAGCGUGAAUAAAAAUAUUUGUGAGGUUGUGAUGAAUAUAUGAUAUUAAAAUUAAAUAUAUAAGUUAUAAAAAGAUAAUAAAAUUCCUUUGAAAAAAAGAUAAUAAAACUAAAUGGAACCUCCUUUAAAAAUUAAAUGGAACAGUUCAAAAAAAUAAAAUAAAAUAAAGUUAAAUGAAAGGAAAAAAACAUAUUGAAAUAUAAUAUUCAAAAAUAAAAGAAAAGGUUCCAGCGUGAGUUGAAAAGAGAUGAUUGUGAAAUAAAUUGUCGAGAAGUGGUUUUUUAAAGUAACAUUCAACAACUUUUGGCCAAAGUCAUUCCAUUCAAUUUUAUGCAUUCAAAAAAAUUAUUUUAGUAAGUACUUAAUUGAUAAUGUGUUUGGCCUAACUUUUCCUUAAAAAUGUAGAGAAGUUGGAAAAAAGCCGGGUCAAACGAUACCUUAAUCUUCCACAACGACAAUGUAGAAGCAACUGAAUUUAGGAGAAAAAAAUUGAAAAAUAGUUAAAAACAGAAAAAAAAAUGAAAAAUAGUUAAAAAUUAUUAAAAAUUAUAAAAUUAUAAAAUAAUUAAAAAAAAUUGGUAAGGGGCAAAAUGGAGAAUGCACCCUAAAACAUGUGAGGUGGCAACAACCAAAUUUCACCAAAUAGUAAAUUACAAAAAUGCUCCUCUUAAAGGCAAAAUGGUAAAAUCAUAGAGAUUAAUAUUUAAUAUAUAGUAAGUAGAUAGUAAGUAGAUUAAAAAAUGUAAUAAUGAUCUCAAAUGAUAUGACAAUUUUACUAAACUAGUCUUAAUUACUGUUGGUAUAGUAUACACUCAAUUCAUUAGAGAGUGUAAAUUACAUUUAUUUUGAAACAAUUUUUUUUUUCUUCUACGGCUACUUAAACUAGAAAUUUAGACAAACAAGAGGGUACAACAACAUUUACUUCAAACCAAAUCGUGACCAUGGGUUGGUUUCAGUUAUUGUUUUAUUAAAUAAGUGUGACCCUAUCUAUGCAUAAGUGAAGCUUUAAAUCAAUGAAAAGACUUGACUAGCUAGGUAGCUGUGAAGUUUCUGAAUAAUUUAAUUGAACAUUUAAUUUAUACGGACCCUAUCCAUCCCUUCUUCUUUUCUUUUCUGAAUACCAAUGCCUUAUUCACUUAAUGUUGGGUACUGCAGAUUGCAGAAACAGCUGUUAAUUUGAUUUGCAGAUUGGAAAACCAGGUAAAUAACAAUAUAUUUUGCUUGAUCAUUCAUUCAUGUACAAAGAUAAAGUAGGUUUUCUAAAAUUGUUGGAAAGAUCGUCUACUUGUUGAACAAAAAUUAAGCUUCCAAAGUAUAUUUCUACAGCAGAGUUGUUGCAGUCAACACUACUAGCUACUGAAUAUUAGAGAAAGAUCAAGAGAAUAGUUCAUACGGCUUGAACAUUUGCUGAAACAAGGUAACAAUCAAUGAUAUGCUCAUACAAAUUAUAUUUAGUACAUGCUUUAUUUUAUGAUCCAUGUAAUCACAACACUGUAGCUUUUUCUUAUUCUAUUUAAUGUUUUAAGUAGUUACUUCAAAUAUAGAAUUACCAAAGUUACAAAAGGGGAAAUAACAUUGGAUUGAUUUUUUUUUUUGGUUACAUAACACAUUGGAUUGAUAAUCACAUUAUUAUAAUAAUAAUAAUUAUUAUUAUUAUUAGAGAAAUGUUAACUAGUGUUAUUAAAGUGUCCUUAGGGCACUUGUUAAGAAGUCUACAGAAAAAAUGUUGUAUUGGAAAUAGUUUAAAAAAUAAUUUUUUUUACAAAUUUUUUUAUUUUGUUUUGAAGGAAUUAUUAUUAGGCUAAAGUGCACUUUUCGCCCCCUAUGUUUCAUAAUGUUGCGAUUUUGGCCCCCUAUUAAAAAAAGUAGCAAUUUUGGCCCCUUUCAUCCCAAAAUUGCUCGGAAGAUGCCACGUGUCCCAGAAAAGGGGUCAUAAUCGCAACUUUUUGUAAAGAUAAGGGGUCAAAAAACAUAUUUCCCUUAUGUUAGGGGGUCAAAAGAGCAUAUUUCCCUAAACAUAGAGGAUCAUUUUUGCCAUUUUUUUUAAUAGGGGGCCAAAAUCGCAACAUUUUGAAACUUAAGGGACUUUAGCCUUAUUAUUAUUAUUGGUAGAAAUUACAAACUAGUUUAAAGAUCUAAUCAGCGGUCAUGUCAACGUCGAUUAAUUGUUGACAAACAUUUAUUUAACGGAAUAACUUAAUUUUUUUUUUUUUAAGAAUCUGACUAUAACUUCUUUUUUGCUUAGAGAUUUGUUUAAAAAAAGUUCAAAUAAUUUAAGGAUUUGCACAUUAACUAAACUUUUUUUUUUUUUCAAAUAUCAAAUAUAUAUCAAAAUAUAGCCUUAGCUUUUCAAACUCUCAUCUUUAAAACCCUCUUAAAUUCAACUUGCAAAUCACACCGUAUAACUCAAUAUUUCAUUUUGGCUUAAAUGUCUCCCUGCAUUUUUAUCACUUUUUAGGAUUGGUCCCUACAUUUUUAUUUCAUCAUCUUGUAAUUAUUCCAUCAUCUUGUAAUUUGUUAAUUAUAUAAAACAAAAAAAAAGCCACCAUCCAAGUAUUUUCUCAACAAUUUUGUGUGCAGAACUUGAAUAUCAAGGACCAUUGCCUUAUUUCACUUGAUGAUGGCUACUGCAUAUAGCAGAAACAGGUGUUGUAGUGUCUGCUGCAGAACUUGAAUUGGAAAACAACAAUCAUUCAUAUAUAGUUGUUGAUCAAUCAUACCAUAUGAAGUUUUUUAGAACUAUUACCUUGAAAUGGAGAAUUAGUUGGUGAAACGCAGAAUUGAUAUCAUGCUCUUUUAUCCUCUCCUUCUUACAUGCAAACAUAAUAACUACCACUUUAUUAUUGCAUAUUUACAUUUAUGAAAAGUAAUAUUUAACCAAAAUUAUAUUUCUACAGCAGAGUUGUUGCAGUCAACACCACCUUAUUAUGAUCUUGAUGAUGCUAGCUACUGCAUAUUGGAGAAUGAUCUUGAACAUUUGCUGAAACUGCUGGAUAUAAGGUAAUCAUACUUUUAACAAUUUUAAUUAAUUUCUUAAGUUUUAUAAAUCAACUUGAGUUUUAUGCUUUUGUAUUAUUUUUUAGAGAACACCAACUUGAAUGGAUAAGGAUUGAAUCAAUCAAACAUAGUCUAUCUGUAAUAAAUUUUCUGUUCAAGCCAUGUUAUCUUUUCUUUUCAAACUAAGAGCUUAAAACCUGAAGCCUGCUUCCAAGUCAAAAUCCUCAAAAAUGUCCUCUAAUUUCAAGCAUUGAAAAAAGGGGAAAUAACAGUGGAUUGAUACAUACUGACUUAAGUUACAAAAACUUCAAUAUUUUAGAAAGCUACUACAUUGAUUAAAUAAAAGUUCGAUAUCCACUAUGAAACACUAACAGGAGAGGAGAGCCUUACCAUUUUGUAAAUGAUAUGAAAGGAUUAUUUAAUAAGUUGCAACUAAGCAAGGUCCUAUACUUAUUAGUUACAGGAUCCUAUCUUUUAACUACGCGCACAAUAUGCCAAAACUAUAGUAUGCCAAACUCCAACAAUUUUGUAAAAGUUAUUGACUCUGCAGCUUUUGUUUGCUGCAGAACAUGAAUUGCAAUAACUAUUACUCCUAAUUCUCUUGAUUGAAUCUUUAGUAUUGGAUGGACUCCCUGUUUCAAAUUACUUUGAUGAAAAAUGUGUCAUCAAGUAUCAUUUUUCAAAUGAACAGACUUCGAACAAAGAAAAUCUUACUGCACAAAAAAAUUCUUUGAUGAAAAGUGUGUCAUCUACUAUCAUUUAUCAACCAUUUUAUUUCUCAAUACACAAUACAACACACACACAACCAUAUAUAUGCCUAACUUUGAUCUAUUGAAAUUUAUUUAGAUGGCAAGUUUUUUGACUGAUUUGGCGAAGCCUUAUGUGGAUAAAUUGAUAAAUGGGGUGAUCGCAGAGUCAAGUUAUAUAUGUUGCUUCACGUACAUUGCUAAGGAUUUUGAAGAAGAAAGAGUUAGUUUGGAAAUAGAAAAGACAACUGUCAAGCAACGUGUUGAUGUGGCAACCAGUAGAGGAGAAGAUGUUCAAGCUAAUGCUCUUUCUUGGGAAGAAGAAGCCGAUAAGCUUAUUCAAGAAGACACAAGAACAAAACAAAAAUGUUUUUUUGGAUUUUGUUCUCAUUGCGUAUGGAGAUAUAGAAGGGGAAAGGAAUUGACAAAUAAGAAGGAGCAAAUUAAAAGAUUAAUUGAAACUGGAAAGGAACUUUCAAUUGGACUCCCUGCUCGUCUUCCAGGUGUUGAACGUUAUUCAUCCCAACACUAUAUUCCUUUUAAAAGUAGGGAAUCCAAAUACAAAGAGCUUUUGGAUGCAUUGAAAGAUGACAACAAUUAUGUAAUCGGGUUGAAAGGAAUGGGGGGCACAGGAAAAACUACAUUGGCCAAAGAAGUUGGUAAGGAACUUAAGCAGUCCAAACAAUUUACUCAAAUAAUUGACACGACAGUGUCAUUUUCUCCUGAUAUCAAAAACAUUCAAGAUGAUAUUGCUGGACCCUUGGGAUUGAAAUUUGAUGACUGUAAUGAAUCAGACAGACCCAAAAAACUAUGGAGCAGGUUAACCAAUGGUGAAAAGAUUCUUCUAAUAUUGGAUGAUGUGUGGGGAGACAUCGAUUUUAAUGAAAUAGGGAUUCCAUACAGUGACAAUCACAAAGGCUGUAGAAUUCUUGUAACCACGCGCAAUCUCUUGGUGUGUAACAGAUUAGGAUGCAGUAAGACAAUGCAACUCGAUCUGUUAUCUGAAGAAGACGCAUGGAUCAUGUUCAAAAGGCAUGCUGGUCUUAGCGAAAUUUCAACUAAAAAUCUGCUUGAAAAAGGGCGUAAAAUUGCAAAUGAAUGCAAAAGGUUACCGAUUGCAAUUGCUGCUAUCGCCAGCAGUUUGAAGGGCAUACAACGUCCGGAAGAGUGGGAAUGGGCCUUAAAAUCCUUGCAGAAAAAUAUGCAAAUGCACAAUGUUGAUGAUGAACUGGUUAAAAUUUAUAAAUGCUUAAAAUUUAGCUAUGAUAAUAUGAAGAAUGAGAAGGCCAAGAGACUAUUCCUCUUGUGUUCUGUAUUUCGAGAAGAUGAAAAAAUUCCUACCGAAAGGUUAACCAGACUUAGCAUCGGAGGAGGCCUUUUUGGGGAGGAUUAUGUCAGCUACGAAGAUGCUCGAAGCCAAGUUGUUAUAUCCAAAAAUAAACUCCUAGAUUCUUGUUUAUUGUUGGAGGCCAAAAAAAGUAGAGUGCAAAUGCAUGACAUGGUUCGUGAUGCAGCCCAAUGGAUAGCGAGCAAAGAGAUUCAAACAAUGAAGUUGUAUGAUAAAAAUCAAAAGGCAAUGGUUGAAAGGGAGAAAAAUAUUAAAUAUUUGUUAUGUGAAGGCAAGCUUGAGGAUGUGUUUUCAUGUAUGCUUGAUGGUUCCAAGCUUGAGAUUCUAAUUGUCACUGGGCAUAAGAAGGAAGGCUUCCACUGCCACGAUUUGAAAAUCGAUGUCCCGAAUUCAUUUUUUGAAAAUAGUACGGGCCUUCGAGUUUUUUAUCUAAUCUAUGAUAAGUAUUCUAGUCUAUCUCUAUCAUUACCUCAUUCAAUUCAGUCGUUGAAGAAUAUUCGAUCUCUUCUCUUUGCAAAUGUCAUUUUGGGUGACAUCUCUAUUUUGGGAAACCUUCAAAGUCUAGAGACACUUGAUUUGGAUGGUUGUAAAAUUGAUGAAUUGCCUCAUGGAAUCACAAAACUAGAGAAACUGAAAUUAUUGAACUUGACAUCUUGUAGAAUUGCAAGGAAUAAUCCUUUUGAAGUGAUUGAAGGAUGCUCGUCACUUGAAGAGUUGUAUUUCAUAGGUAGUUUUAAUGAUUUUUGCCGAGAAAUAACUUUCCCGAAAUUGCAAAGGUUUGAUAUUGGUGAAUUUUCAAACUUAGUGGAUAAAUCAUCAUUGAAGGGGGUGUCUGAUCUUGUAAUCUCAGAUAAUGUUUUCCUAUCUGAAACAACACUCAAGUAUUGUAUGCAAGAAGCAGAGGUUCUUGAACUAGGAAGAAUCGAGGGGGGGUGGAGAAACAUCGUACCUGAGAUUGUUCCUCUGGAUCAUGGUAUGAAUGAUCUAAUCGAGCUUGGUUUGAGAUCCAUUUCACAAUUACAGUGCCUCAUUGACACUAAUUCUCCAGUUUCAAAAGUCUUCUCCAAGUUGGUUGUACUAAAGCUCAAAGGAAUGGAUAAUUUAGAAGAAUUGUUCAAUGGUCCUGUUUCCUUUGACUCUCUGAACAGUUUAGAGAAGCUGUCCAUCAAUGAAUGUAAACAUUUAAAAAGCUUAUUUAAGUGCAACCUAAACCUCUGCAAUCUAAAGAGUCUUUCAUUGGAAGAAUGCCCGAUGUUGAUAUCCCUAUUUCAACUGUCAACUGUUGUUAGCCUAGUGUUGUUGGAGAAACUGGAAAUAAUUGAUUGUGAGCGCCUUGAAAACAUAAUAAUAGUUGAAAAAAACGGGGACGAAUUGAGAGGUGAAAUAAUUGAUGCUAAUGGCAAUACAAGUCAUGGCUCAAUGUUUCCGAAACUAAAAGUUCUUAUUGUUGAGAGCUGUCCGAGAAUUGAAUUAAUACUUCCGUUUCUCUCUACUCAUGAUCUUCCAGCACUAAAAUCCAUCAAAAUAGAAGAUUGUGACAAGUUGAAAUACAUAUUUGGUCAAGAUGUCAAACUUGGUUCGCUCAAAAAAUUGGAGCUUGAUGGCAUUCCGAAUUUGAUCGACAUUUUCCCAGAAUGUAAUCCUACAAUGUCUUUGUCCAUUAAGAAGCCAUCUUCCAUUUCUGAGUCACAAGAACAAUCAGAGCCAAUCAAAUGCAAUAUGUUUUCAUGGACUGAUAUCUAUUGUUGUGGUAAAAAAUAUGGGCACAACAAAUUGAGGAGUACCACAAUUACGAAAAUCCCAUUGGUUUCUCAGGAUCAACUGCUGGAUAACUUAAUGGUAACCCUCUUACCUUCUUCUGUGAUGUUAUUUUGUGUACUUUUUUAAGCCAGUCUGUCGGACUUGUAUUGUAGGAAUCAUUUGUUUUUAUUUUCUUGAAUUCUAUAUUUGCUCACUGAGAUUAUAUAAUUGCAGGAAUCAAAUUCAUAUCCUCUUAACAUAUGGGAAAGUGCUCAAUGUCUUUCAAGACAAUCACAUAUCUUGUGCAAUAUUAAAAAGAUUACACUCUGGAAAAUUUCAAAGAUGAAAUCAGUAUUUAUCCUGUCUAUUGCUCCAACAAUGUUGUUGGAGUCAUUGACAAUCUAUAAGUGUAAUGAAUUGAAGCACAUUAUAAUAGACAUGGGAGAUCAUGACAACACUGGUGGCAAUAACUGGGGCACUGUCUUCCCAAAAUUAAGAUUGUUCGAAGUUGAACAUUGUGAGAAAUUGGAAUACAUAAUUGGACACUUCACUGAUGAUCAUCAAAACCACACUGAGAUUCCUCUUCAUCUUCCAGCAUUGGAGACCUUCGUUCUUCACAAUCUGCCAAGUUUAGUCAGCAUGUGUCCCAAACAAUAUCACACGACAUUUCCACAAUUGGAAAGACUUGUAGUUGAAGAAUGCCCGCAGUUUAUUGGUGAUUUCAUAACUCAUCAUUCAAUAACAAGAUCGGUGGACGGUACAAUCAUCAAGGUAUUCAUCUUUAUCUCUAUAUAUCUUUGUUGUUUGAAAAUCUAAACUUGAUGAUUUUAAGUCAACAUAUGCUUUUAAAUGAAUAAUGUUCAAAUCAUGCCUGCAAAAACAUUAAAAAAAAAAAAUUCAAAGGAUGAUUAAACAUGCGGUUUUUUUAAAGAAGUAAUUUUAUGUUGGGACAAAAAACAAAACAUAAUAAUUUUAUGUGAACUAAAAACAUUUAAUUUUUUUAAACAAGUACAUUUUUUGUGUCUAAUAUGCACCUCUUGAAAUUGGUUCAAGGGUGGUUUACUAUAUGAAGAACAGAAAAAUAUUAAUAAAAUAUGAAGAACAGAAAAAUAUUUUAUUAUAAUUUACUAAAAUAAAGAGGGGUCCACCUUUGGAUGGUCCAUAUUAAAAUAUUAGAAAAAAUAGUGAGUUCAUCUCAUCUCUCUCAGAACUCUUAUUUAUAGAGAAGAUGAACUAAGCGGUUGCCACUUGCCACUUAAGUGAAAGAAUAAAAAAGAGAAAUAUAUAAAUAAAAAUAAAGAGAUACAAGGACUAUGCAGACAUUAAACAUAUUCCAGGUACAACCUAGCUGAAAAUAAAUCAUGAAAAUAUAAACCAGAUAGAUCAACCUUAAUCAAUCCUAACAAAACAAUCACUCAUUACGAACGCAACUCAGUGAACUCGCGUACGGGCACAAAAUCAGGUUACAAAAAAAAAAAUGACGAGUAAGCGUCUGUAGGAUCAAACAAGGUUCAUAAUUGGCGAAUGGAUUGGCCGCCAACAUGGUAUCAAGAUUCAUGUACCAACAACCAUUGAACAAAGCAAUAGCAUAAAAACUCUUUUGAGCAUAACAGUCCGAUCACAAUCACAAAGACUAAGAUGGAUAAGAAGUUAGUACUAGAGAGUAGCCCGCCCGUCUUCAGUCUUGCAGAUCUUAACAAAAGUGGAAUAUCAGAGAAUCAAGCAAGCACAGAAACACCAAAUCAACCGAUUUCAAAGACGUGUUUGAACUCAGAUUGAGGGAUGAGUUCAAUACGUUAGUAACCAAACAACCCUUUUGAGUUAAGACAACCAGACCCUUUCGGGUUUGAGAAUCCGACCCACCACAUAAAAGGCCAUAUCUAUUGCCACCAUCCACUCUCAUAACAGAAACACACGGCAAACACACAAAACAAAAAUGAACGACAACCUAGACCAAAACAAACAACAACACAGAGCAAAAAUAAAAAAAACGGUGAAACCCGAGCCUAAACAUAUUCGGAAGGCAAGAUCAAGAUCUACCGUGAAGCUAGCAAACCAACCCUUGUAGCACCUGAACAUAGCAAGAAGAACCACCAAAGCAAACCAACCCCAAACCCACUUAAGUGAAAGAAAAUAAAAUAGAAACGUAUUUUCGGGCCUCGAUUUGUUCCAGUUUUAUUGAGGAUUCUUUUACUAUAAAUAUAGACAUUGUAUCAGUGUAAACCUUGAGAUAGAGGGGGCUGAAAUAGGUUUAGAAAGACAACAACAAAACUAGGGUUUGUAUAGAGUUUGUCUCUUUGGAACAAACACUGGGAUUUGAGGGUUGAUUCACUUUGGGAAACACCAUUAGGAUUGAGUCUAUUGGUUACGGGAAGAGAUUGGGACUUUGGAUAGAAUUAGGCGGGAGACGUAUUCUUAUAACUCAGUGAAACGGAAGGCUGCUCUCUCCCUAGACUAGGUCAAUUUGGACUGAACUGGAUCUUGGACCGAACUAGGUCAACAAAUUCUCCUGUGUUCUCUCUUCUUUUCUCUGUCGCUGUUUUCUACUUUUGGCUUGUGUUUAUAAUUGUUCCAUACACUUUGUUUUGGUUGUUUGAUUGUCCUUGCUCCACACAUCAAGUUUGUUAUUGGUGUGAUUUUUGUUCGAAUUCACAACACCCACCAUCACGACACCGAACCUCGAGUCUCCAAAACACUUAAACCACUUCCAAACGACAACUAACAGAUCGAAGACGGAAGAAACAUGCUGGAGCGCCAGAAUGAGGAGAAGGGAAUAGAGGAACAAAGAAGGAAAUAGAGGGACAGAGAAGGAAACCCGUCGCACCAAAACUGUGAUGUGGAGGUUUUGAGCUAUUAUCAUUAGAUCGUGUGUUGUGAGUCGCCACACACUUCACAUUUACUCUUCGUCUGCUAGUAAUUUGUCGAAUUGAGGUCUUGAUAUAACACGUGUUGUAAUUUUAAAUAUCCAUGUUCCCACUGUUUGGGUUUGUUGGAGGAACUUGUCGUUGCCCGAACAUAGUCAUUUCUUGUUAGCCUUAUAGUGUGUUUGGACGAGGUAAUUGGAAAAUUUUAAAGAAUUUAGAAUUCUAGGCAAUUUAAAUGAUUCAAUUAAAUUACUUUCAUUUCUCAAUACUUUUGUUUGGAUGGAGUAAUAAGAAAAAUUAUUGUCAUCAAUUUUGGGCAACUUUUAUAAGUUUUAAUUUUUUGGGCCAAAUUUAAAAAUUGAAAUUAAGGGUCAAUUUGUAAAUUUCAAAAAUUUUGAGAGGUCAAGUUAUAAUUUUGAAAAAAUUGAGGGGUCAAUUUGAAAUUUUUUGAAAAUUUAUUGGGGACCAAAAUGCAAAAUUUGAACAAAUAUAACAAUGAAGAAUUUUGAAAUUCUUAACUUUUAGGUGUCUAUUGAAAUUCUCUAAAUUUAACUUGAACAAGUACUUCAUAAAUUUCCAUCAUUUUAAAAAAAAAAAAUUAAAUUGUUUUCCAAACAAUAAAAUUCACCUCAAAGUAUUUGAAUUCCCUCAUUCAAACACACUCUUAGAGUCUGUUUGUUUUGGCUUUUCAACAACAAGAAGCACUUCUACAAACCUCAAAAAGUGGAAAUUGAGUUUUCAAUGUUGUUUGGUUUGGCUUUUUAGAAUUGCUUCUAUCCUCCAACAGCAAUUAUCCUUAAAGCUAAAAUUCCUAACUUUUGGCUUUCCUAUAAUCAAUUCUACAUUAAAUUUUAUAUUUUGAUUAUUACAACCUAUUAUUUUCUUUUAUUGCCCUUUAUCAGUUCUCCUUCUUUUUGCUUUGUAAUUAAUUUGAUGAACCAAAUUUAAUCAGAAGACUUAACGAACCAAAUUAGCCCCCGAAAAAUAUUUAUGGUCAUGAGUUGCCAAAUUUUUGAAUUUUCCUUUACGGUAUCUCCAUUCAGAUUUACUGUAUUUUUUCUUUUAACUUUCUUUUACGCUAUAAGACUGUUAAUUAUUUAAGGUUUUUUUCUUUUGGGGUAGCCAAUGCUACCCAUAGCCCUUCCUCUUUGUCUACAACUUAUACAAAAAUGUGAAUGUAGGGGUUGAUUUAAUAGAGGAACAUAUGAAGUAAGGAUGUGAGUUUUUUCUUUUUUAACGAAUGGUAGAACGAUGGCAGAUUGAAAAACAAAAGGGUUGGGGUGUUGAAAAUUAAAUAACAAUAUUAAUUUAAUUAAACAAAAAGUUAAAUAAAUUUAAUCCAAAUAAAAAGUUAAAUAAAUUUUAAUGGGAGGUUUUUAAUAAUGUAAUAAUGUUACAUUAUAAUGUAACAAUAUUAAUUUAACUGAAAACACUCUUAGGUUUGCUUCCAAUUUUUUCUGUUUCCAGCAAAAGGUCAAACAAGUAUUUUCUACAAGAGAUAAAAAUUCCUUUCUUUGAGUGAACUACCUUAAUUCCAAUAAACACUUGAGUUUGAGUUGUUCACGGUUCUUCAUUUCAAUAAUGAUAACUUAUCUUUGAGUUCCUUGUCUUUCAAAUAAAUCAUCUCCUGUAACAAUAAUAGCAUUAUAGUUUUCCUCAAUUCAUUACAGUUAAAUAGUGUUCAAGUUAAGAAUAGAAGUUUCUUUUUACUAAUUCCUAAACUUCAUUACAAUUAUGUUUCUCUUGAUAUCGGUUGAGCAUAUCAAAUAUCAAAUAUCUCCACAGCCUAUUAUCAUCUCUAUUGUACUUACAGAACUUUGUUAUUCUUAUUUUAUGCAUGUGUUUAUUUCCCAUUCAUUUAUUGCAGGAAUUGAGUGGGAAUGUCGAACAUUUUUGUGCUUUGGAAAGUCUCGAGGUAGAUCACUCCAAUGUAGAAAGUAUCUUUCGUGUCGAUGAAAUAAAUGAACGGCAAAUGAACUUAGCUUUGGAAGACAUUGAUUUGGAUGUUCUGCCUAUGAUGACAUGCCUUUUUGUGGGUCCCAACAAUUCGUUCUCCCUCCAAAACCUUACAAGAAUAAAAAUCAAGGGAUGUGAAAAGUUGAAAAUUGUUUUCACCACUUCUGUAAUAAGGUGUCUACCACAGUUGUAUUAUAUGAGAAUUGAAGAGUGCAAUGAGUUGAAGCAUAUCAUUGAAGAUGAUUUGGAGAAUAAAAAUUCCUCAAAUUUUAUGUCUACAACAAAGACAUUCUUCCCAAAGCUAGAAAAAGUUGUUGUAGAAAAGUGCAACAAGUUGAAAUAUGUGUUUCCAAUCUCCAUAUGUAAAGAGCUUCCUGAGCUAAAUGUUCUGAUGAUAAGAGAAGCAGAUGAGCUGGAGGAAAUAUUUGUAAGUGAAGGUGAUGAUCACAAAGUGGAGAUUCCAAAUCUAGAAUGUGUAGUAUUUGAAAAUCUACCAAGCCUCAGUCAUGCCCAGAGAAUUCAAUUUCAAGCUGUAAAAAAUCGUUUCAUACGGAAUUGUCAAAAACUCUCUCUGGAAUCAACAAAAAUACAUGACUUGUCUGCUUCAUAUUUUCGCAUCGGUACACACUCUAUCCAAUAUUUUUAAAAACUAUUACAUGUUUGCUGUAAAUUAUUACAUACGAUUUGUUUAAAGGAGCGGUAAGAGGUAUGCAUGCAUAAGUAUUUCUAAAAUGUAGUGACCUAUCUAAUAGAAGCUUUAAUUUUAUGUAAAAUUUAAUUAUUAGGUAGAUAGAUAAACAAUUUUGUGCAUCUUGAAACUUGAAAAUGGUGAUAUACAAUUGAAAGUGGAAGUUUUUAUUUUAUUAUUAUGCUUGAGUUACUAUAUAAUGAUGUUAAUCUCUAUAUUAUUUUGCUGUAGAUCCUGAAUUGUGUAGGUAUUUCAAGACUCGGUUUCGACAACAAUUUCAAAAAGAGACCAAAGGCAACAAUAGUGGUAAUGAAAAUCCAGAAACCUCUAAAAAAAUUGCUGUUGGGGUUGAAGUUAAAGCAUCAUCAGAACAUGAGCUGACUUCUCCAAAGGUCAAUACCGAUCUAUUGAUUCAAGCUUACCGCACCAGAAUUUAAUCAACUUGACAAUGUAUUUGAUUCAAACAUGCUAUUUUUUGUGCAGAAAAAAACAAAACAAACACCAGAGACAGAGCAUGAACUUGUGGAAAAUGUUCCUGAUUUAGAAAUACCAACAAAUUCAAAAGUGAUUUCCAGGCCAUGUCAAACUGCGUUAGAAUUUUAAUGGAUGUAAUUAAUAGCUGAAGAUCAUUAUUGCUUCUGUUCUUGUUACAGGAGUUGAUGAAUGAACAAUCAAUGGAGCAGCAACGUCUACUUGGAGAACCUGAUACUACCGUCAAACCUUCUCAGGUAAAUCAUGUAAUGUCGUACCACCGCGUUGUGCAUAUAAAGCUAAAAAUGAAAUACCGAAAGAAAUAUAUUUUAUUUCAAGUGAAUCUUACAAAUAUGUACAACUAACUAAUUUACAUUUCUAUUGUAUGCAAUUAGUUGGAGGUGUCUACCAUUUCAGAAACAAAGAAUGUAGCAGAAACGUGUUCCACCAAUUCACCAACAAAGAAUGAGUCACCUAUACAAGUAGUUACUCCUUGCUAGUAUUCUUUUUGACACUUUGUCUAUGCAGGAAUUGACUUAUACUACAAUCUUAAACAUCUUUUUAAUUUUAAGCAGGUUAGCGAAAUAAGUGUUCAAGAAGGAACUACUUCAUCUAAUGCCAAGAGAAGAACGACAUCAUCACAGGUGAGUUUAUUUUAUUUAACAAAGCCUUCAUAUUAACUUGGUCUUUUUAUUACAAUUCAAUGACCAUGGAAUUGGAUUUGUAAGAAUCAAGCCUUAAACUAAUUUCGAUAUAUUGAGAAGAAAAAAAUCGGAAUCUACAGCUUUUGAAUUUUGAAAAAGUUGGAUUUAUGGAUGAUGAUUUGUCCAUUCUCUCCUUCCGAAUCUUUCGUCCUUUUCGGUUUGACAACAGAUAUUAAGAAAGUACAAAAUUAGACAGGUUUAGUCCAUUUUAUUCGUAAUUCAUUCAAUGCAUGCUUUCGGUUUUUUGUAAGUGUGCAAAAGAAAAAACAUCUUUCAUUAUAUUUGGUUUCCUAAAAGAACCAAAAUUUUGGGACAAAAAUAAAAACUAAAAGAACCAAAGAUCAAGAACGGACGGAGUAAUAUGUAUUGAGGCUAAUCCAAAAAAACAUAUUAAGACUUCAUGAUGAUAUCAUUUGUAUGUUUGAAUUUUUGUAGGAAUAUAGUGACGGCGAAAUGGCCAUAUCUUCUCCUCCAAUUUCCAUGACAAGGCAUUUUUCCACUCAAGACAUUCAUGUUAAUAACUUGCAGGAAACUAGUAACACUGAUGAUGAUCAAGGUGAAGACUCUUUGGAUCAAUUUUAUUUUCUUAAGUUAUCUCAUCACCCUUUUCAUUUUGAAGUUUAAAUCUCUUCUCUCACACCUUUUGUUCAGUUUCUCUAAAUGAUGAUGCUGUUAUAAAAGUAACCUCAAUUGUUGAGGAACCAUUUUCUAAGGAUGUUGAAUUUAAAGUUCCAGAAUCUAAGCUAUCCCUUAUCAUUACUUCGCCUCAACAAUUUCGGACUCCUUCAAUGCUUUCCAAAGGUAUAUAUUUUCUCCCUUCGUUUUAUUUUUAAGAACAUUAUUUGGUACUCAGAGAGGACUAAUUAUCCUUUUUCUAUACUUUCAGGGGACCCUUCUCAACCAGAUGAAGAAUUAGUAAGUUCAUCAUCAGGUCCAUUUUUUCAUUAAUAAUUGCCAUUCGAUAGGUUUCCUAUGAAACAAGAUUUAAACUAAUUUUUAUAUAAAAAAUAAAAAAUAAAAAAAAUUCAGUCUAUUGCUUCCGAAUCUUAUAUCCAAAGUUAAGGAGAAUCGUUGCUCAAUAUUUGUAGAGGCUUAACACUGAAAUUCUUGUUUUCUAUUUUUAAUUUUAUCUGUAGUGGAAUCAGACUCUUGCAAAAUAUAAUAUAUGGUGUAAAAUAGUGAGGUUGAUCCAUUAUAAGAUAUGAUAUAUCAUUUAGUGAUUUAAAUCUGUGUAGGAAGAUCUUGAUGACCAAAUGGACAUGACUUCUUUUUCCAUUGCUACUACAGAGACCAAUGAUGAAGGUGAAAAUGCUUUGAAUCUAUUUUUAUAUUCUUAUGUUACUUCGAUAUUCAUCGCCCUUUUGAUUUUGAACUUUAUCCUCUCUCACAAUUUGUUUAGUUUCUCGGAAUGAUGAUGCUUUCAAGAAAGUAAGCUCAAAUAUUGAGGAACAAUUUCCUAAGAUUGAUGAUAUAAUAGUAGUUUCCAAAUCUAAACCCUCUCCUUGGAUCACGUCUUCUGUUGCAUCUCAGAAACCUCCGGUGCCUUCUAAAGGUAUUUUAUUGCUUGCAUUUUAUUUUUAACUAACUUUGGUGUGCUCAAAUAGGCUUAAAUAUUCUUUCCUAUACUUUCAGGGGACCCUUCUCAAAAAGUAGAAGAUUUCAGUUCUUCUUUGCUUGUCAAGCAUUUUGAUUAUGAAAACUUGUCUUUGUUGACUGAUUUCUUUGUUAAGCAUCCUUCGGUUCUUUUAAACGACACUUCAUUGAGUAACAGAUACAAGGGUUAUGCCUACAACUGCCUAGCUGAGCUAUUGAAAUUCCUCCAAACUCAUAGUGUGUUGGAUGUGUUAGGUUCAAGCCACUCUGAAUUUGUUGAGUUAUUACAAGAUGUGCGCAAAUUUGGUUUUGAUAAGGAAUGGUUGGAUGAUAUUGAAAAACGCGCUUUGUUGCCUGGUUUACAAGUCUCUCAAGAUGCAUUGCAAAAAUUGUUGGACUCAAAACACAUUUUGACACAACAUGUGGAGGAUCUUAAGCAUCAAUUGGCUUCCUGUGAAGCUGUUUUGCAGAACAUCACUCAACAGGAGGCACAAAUUUUAC
RNAcentral lists this long non-coding RNA (35334 nucleotides) under Medicago truncatula (barrel medic). RNAcentral's name for it is "long non-coding RNA (MTRU_LNC000779)". The record is from RNAcentral. Lineage: Eukaryota; Viridiplantae; Streptophyta; Magnoliopsida; Fabales; Fabaceae.